Long non-coding RNA from Nothoprocta perdicaria, 388 nucleotides. RefSeq lists it as uncharacterized. NCBI's taxonomy places the organism in Eukaryota, Metazoa, Chordata, Aves, Tinamiformes, Tinamidae. The transcript is spliced from 4 exons. The record is from RefSeq and is a predicted model, not a curated record.
AAAAAACUGCUUCAUGCCUACUACCCCCCUUCGUAGGGGUGAAUGGUCGGUUAAUGUUUCACUUAAAAGCCAUAGUAAGGCUGGAGUUGGGGUUAGAGUUCUUCUUUUGUGGGGGAGAGGAACGGAAGAAUUGGCUGUGAGUAACUGAGGAAUGGAGGGGUGUUCAGUGCUGAAGGCCGUAUUGUAUGGAGAGGAUUCUUUGCUCACCAAAACUUUUUUCAGACUUCAGAGGUGAAAGUUUUUCCUUUAAGGAUUUGGGGGAAGAGUAGGAAACUGAGAUUUUUCUCUGUGAAAGAAUUAGUCCAGUAAGGUCAACAGAGUUAAGUUGAAGAAAACCAGAAUGAGGAGUGUGAGGCACUUGAGAGCUGGCUCCAGAGGAUACUUUUCU